This 429-nucleotide ribosomal RNA is filed under the name Gemmatimonadota bacterium. RNAcentral describes it as "Gemmatimonadetes bacterium partial 16S ribosomal RNA". It matches the Rfam family "Bacterial small subunit ribosomal RNA", at positions 355 to 776 of the family's 1533-position model. The record is from RNAcentral. Lineage: Bacteria; Pseudomonadati; Gemmatimonadota.
UAGGGAAUCUUCGGCAAUGGACGAAAGUCUGACCGAGCAACGCCGCGUGAGUGAAGAAGGUUUUCGGAUCGUAAAACUCUGUUGUUAGAGAAGAACAAGGACGUUAGUAACUGAACGUCCCCUGACGGUAUCUAACCAGAAAGCCACGGCUAACUACGUGCCAGCAGCCGCGGUAAUACGUAGGUGGCAAGCGUUGUCCGGAAUUAUUGGGCGUAAAGCGAGCGCAGGCGGUUUCUUAAGUCUGAUGUGAAAGCCCCCGGCUCAACCGGGGAGGGUCAUUGGAACCUGGGAGACUUGAGUACAGAAGAGGAGGGUGGAAUUCCAUGUGUGGCGGUGAAAUGCAUAGAUAUAUGGAGGAACACCAGUGGCGAAGGCGGCUCUCUGGUCUGUAACUGACGCUUAGGCUCGAAAGCGUGGGGAGCAAACAGG